CGAACGCUGGCGGCAGGCCUAACACAUGCAAGUCGAACGAGAAGCAGGACUUCGGUUCUGUGGACAGUGGCGGACGGGUGAGUAACGCGUGGGAAUUUGCCUUGGAGUGGGGGACAACCGCUGGAAACGGCGGCUAAUACCGCAUACGCCCUACGGGGGAAAGAUUUAUCGCUCUAAGAGAAGCCCGCGUCUGAUUAGCUUGUUGGUGAGGUAACGGCUCACCAAGGCGACGAUCAGUAGCUGGUCUGAGAGGAUGAUCAGCCACACUGGGACUGAGACACGGCCCAG
Molecule: ribosomal RNA, 288 nt
Filed under: uncultured Magnetospira sp.
Lineage: Bacteria; Pseudomonadati; Pseudomonadota; Alphaproteobacteria; Rhodospirillales; Thalassospiraceae
Description: partial 16S ribosomal RNA
Rfam family: Bacterial small subunit ribosomal RNA
Source: RNAcentral